Molecule: ribosomal RNA, 491 nt
Filed under: uncultured bacterium
Lineage: Bacteria
Description: partial 16S ribosomal RNA
Rfam family: Bacterial small subunit ribosomal RNA
Source: RNAcentral
GUGAACGCUGGCGGUAGGCCUAACACAUGCAAGUCGAACGGCAGCACAGUAAGAGCUUGCUCUUACGGGUGGCGAGUGGCGGACGGGUGGGGAAUACAUCGGAAUCUACUUUUUCGUGGGGGAUAACGUAGGGAAACUUACGCUAAUACCGCAUACGACCUACGGGUGAAAGCAGGGGAUCUUCGGACCUUGCGCGAUUGAAUGAGCCGAUGUCGGAUUAGCUAGUUGGCGGGGUAAAGGCCCACCAAGGCGACGAUCCGUAGCUGGUCUGAGAGGAUGAUCAGCCACACUGGAACUGAGACACGGUCCAGACUCCUACGGGAGGCAGCAGUGGGGAAUAUUGGACAAUGGGCGCAAGCCUGAUCCAGCCAUACCGCGUGGGUUAAGAAGGCCUUCGGGUUGUAAAGCCCUUUUGUUGGGAAAGAAAAGCAGCAGGUUAAUACCCCGCUGUUCUGACGGUACCCAAAGAAUAAGCACCGGCUAACUUCGUG